Andrographis paniculata is the source of this 1765-nucleotide long non-coding RNA. RefSeq lists it as uncharacterized. The transcript has 3 exons. The record is from RefSeq and is a predicted model, not a curated record. Lineage: Eukaryota; Viridiplantae; Streptophyta; Magnoliopsida; Lamiales; Acanthaceae.
UAAGCCUACUUACACAAUUUCAAAAUAUUUGGAAAAACGAAACAAACACGGCCUAAGAGGUGAUCAGACCGUUAGAAGUAACAAAUCACUUCUUCUAAUGACAGUUAGUUACAGUCUUAGGCAUCUUCAAAAAAAUCUCUUCUCUUCUUCGCCGCUCUGUUCUUGCCGAUGAUUGUCUGUCAAUCAGUCGACUCAAUUGGUCUCUUCUCCGUUGCGUUGCUGCCCUUCUUCCUUGUCUGAGUACUGUCCGAUUCUUUGUAUGGUUGUGGCGGUUUUGGGUGGAUGUGUUUUGUGGAUUGGCGAUAAUCUUGUUUAAUUGUUUUCUAGGGUUUUCUUCGAUUUGAACUCCUCGACUGAGUCAAGUAUUUCUGUCACUGUUGGCUGUUGUGUCGUCAAUCAGUUCUGGAAUGGAAUUUUAGAGUAACUUUGGUGGUUUCAUUUCUUUCUGCAACAUGAUAUGGUAUAAUGUGCUGUAGAAUUUUAGAUUGGCAAUUGUUCUUGUCUGUUGCUUUUCUUAAUUUAUCGCUUGAUUUGAUUUAAUUGUUGAGAAUCGGUUGAUCAAAAUCCUGAGGGUUGGGUUUAUUAUUAUUUCUUUGUGUUGGUUGCGAUUUGAACGAAAUCUGCAAAGAAAUCAACGUUGUAGGUUCUCAAGAUAAAUAGAAUCAUAAAUUUGUUAGUUGUUUUCGAGAAUUGAAGUGAGGAAUCGUAUGUUUAAAUUGCGUUCGCAGGCCAUGUCCCUUAGAAAAGAUCUAAAACUAGGAAUAGAAGAUAUCCUGGUGGCAGAUUUGAACUCUGUAUAUAUUGUUGCACACAUUUUGGAAAAUUUGAGUCCUGAUUUGAUUGGAAAAUGUGUGUGGGAGUUUAUUUGUUCUUGUUAUAUUUAUGAAUAUAUUGUUAUGAAGAGAAACCAUGGAUGUGUUAUCCAACUGAAUACAGGUUGCUAUUGUCAAAGACAUAAAGGAGUCAAUGCUUGAAGAAGUGGAUUUUAAGGAGGCAAGGAAUUGCGCAGAGAUCUUCGUUGAUACAUGCAGGCUUUAAUUUCUGUAGGUAACUAAUUCACUUCCAUUGCUUGCCUACCUUCAAUAUACCCAUUUCUCCAUCUUAUUCAAUUUACUAAUUCCAGAAGCUGAUCAAAAUACAUACAUAUCGACUACUUCGACCCUACUAUAUAUAUUCUAGAAGCUUUUAUUUUUCGAUAACAUAUGGCAUUAGCAUUCCAUUCUUGUACAUUUAUAGUUAAUUAGUUAUGUCAGCUACUUGACUUAGAUGGCCUAAGACAUGGCCUUAUCAUGUCUAUAUGCAAUUAGACUUGUGCCUGCUGCAGCUUUGUUUGAUUGUUUCAAAUGGAAUGCAUAUCUUCAACCGGGCGCAAGAGAUAGGGAGUGUUUCGACACUUGUACCCUUACAUUCUUGUAUUCAUUUAAGCAUACUUCCAUAUAUUAAUAAGAUCAUAUUUAUAAUCCAAGAUAUGUAUGCAUCGAUUUAAUUUAUAAUUUGCAUCCCAACCACAUUGUUUUUGUUUUCUGGUUAUGUAAAUUUUAUAUGAAGACUCGAGACUCAACGGAGACCCUUCGUAUUUCUGUGUAUAUAUAUAUACUAAUAUUACUUUUAAACUUUUAAGACGCGUUUUUUGGAGUAUGGCAGGACGAUUAUGGAAAUAUCCAUUUCAAAUGUAGUGGAUAUCUUCAACUGUAGGAUUCUAUUUAGAUCUGGGACAUACAUGCAUCGAUUUAAUAUCUAAUUUGCAUUCUAACUAUAUUGUUUG